RNAcentral lists this ribosomal RNA (497 nucleotides) under uncultured bacterium. Its description in RNAcentral is "partial 16S ribosomal RNA". It matches the Rfam family "Bacterial small subunit ribosomal RNA", at positions 28 to 507 of the family's 1533-position model. The record is from RNAcentral.
GAUGAACGCUGGCGGCGUGCCUAAUACAUGCAAGUCGAGCGAACGGACGAGAAGCUUGCUUCUCUGAUGUUAGCGGCGGACGGGUGAGUAACACGUGGAUAACCUACCUAUAAGACUGGGAUAACUUCGGGAAACCGGAGCUAAUACCGGAUAAUAUUUUGAACCGCAUGGUUCAAAAGUGAAAGACGGUCUUGCUGUCACUUAUAGAUGGAUCCGCGCUGCAUUAGCUAGUUGGUAAGGUAACGGCUUACCAAGGCAACGAUGCAUAGCCGACCUGAGAGGGUGAUCGGCCACACUGGAACUGAGACACGGUCCAGACUCCUACGGGAGGAAGCAGUAGGGAAUCUUACGCGAUGGGCGAAAGCCUGACGGAGCAACGCCGCGUGAGUGAUGAAGGUCUUCGGAUCGGAAAACUCUGUUAUUAGGGAAGAACAUAUGUGUAAGUAACUGUGCACAUCUUGACGGUACCUAAUCAGAAAGCCACGGCUAACUACGUG